Dromiciops gliroides (monito del monte) is the source of this 371-nucleotide long non-coding RNA. RefSeq lists it as uncharacterized. The transcript has 4 exons. Lineage: Eukaryota; Metazoa; Chordata; Mammalia; Microbiotheria; Microbiotheriidae. The record is from RefSeq and is a predicted model, not a curated record.
CCGGUGUGUUGUCAGUGUUCUUCUCGACAGCUCAAUUUUGGAGGUUUCUUACCUGUGCCCAGGGAUGAAGCAAACCUUCCUUACUGGGUCCCUCGGUCACUAAGACCCCACAAGCUGGUCCAGAGGAAAUCCCGAUUCUCUUUCUCAGGAAAGCCCAGGUCCUGUGUCUGUUCCUGUCACAGCUUUGGGGGUCACCUCCCUGUUCCAAGAGAGCUUGCUGCACUCCCUUAUUGGGUGCCUCGAUCAAUCAGGUUCCCAGGGAAGGUGAAUAAGAACUCAGAUUUCAUCUGGACCAAAGGAAGUUUCUCCAGUGGCUUCUGUUACUUCCACAACCAAUGGCGCAUCUGCUGUGAUGAGGAGCCGCUGCAGAG